GAUCCUGGCUCAGGAUGAACGCUGGCGGCGUGCCUAACACAUGCAAGUCGAGCGGCAGCGCGAGUAGUUUACUACUUGGCGGCGAGCGGCGGACGGCUGAGUAACGCGUGGGAACAUACCCCAAAGUGAGGGAUAACUGCCCGAAAGGGUAGCUAAUACCGCAUAUGAUCUUCGGAUUAAAGGAUUUAUCCGCUUUGGGAGUGGCCCGCGUCGGAUUAGGUAGUUGGUGAGGUAAUGGCUCACCAAG
RNAcentral lists this ribosomal RNA (247 nucleotides) under uncultured bacterium. Its description in RNAcentral is "partial 16S ribosomal RNA". It matches the Rfam family "Bacterial small subunit ribosomal RNA", at positions 15 to 272 of the family's 1533-position model. The record is from RNAcentral.